Molecule: ribosomal RNA, 1479 nt
Filed under: Triticum aestivum (bread wheat)
Lineage: Eukaryota; Viridiplantae; Streptophyta; Magnoliopsida; Poales; Poaceae
Description: partial small subunit ribosomal RNA
Source: RNAcentral
AUGGCCUGCCGGGGAGCAAACUCCGAUGAAGGCGCUGCCAAAGCGCAUUUCGUGUUCGUUCCGCUGAUGCACCACGGCCACCUGAUCCCGGCGGUGGACGCCGCGCUGCAGCUGGCCGCCCACGGCGCGCUCGCUAGCAUCGUCGUCACGCCGUCGUACACCGCGCGCCUCCGCCCCGCGGUCGAGUCGUCGGGCCUGCCGGUGCGGCUCGUGGAGCUCCCGCUCGACCUCGCCAGCACAGACGACGUCGACCGGAUCCCCCCGGACCAGGAGGCCGCCUACCUCCUCGCCGCGUCGCGCCUCCGGGCCCCGCUGGAGCACCACCUCCGCGCGCACGCGCCGCCUGUGACGUGCGUCGUGUCGGACAUAUGCCACCCGUGGACCACCGGCCUCGCCGCCAGCCUCGGUGUCCCGCGGCUCAGCUUCCUCGGCAUGUCCGCCUGCUGCCUCCUCUGCCUGCAGACGGAGCACCAUGCCGCGGCCAUUCGCAACGCCUAUGCCGCCAUUGACCCCUACUGGCACCUCAUCCCCGAGGAGCCGGUUGAGGUGAAAAUGCCCACCGCGGCCCCUGGGUUCCUGCGGCUACCGGCGUGCAAGAAGCUGGCAUACGAGAAGCUGGCAUACGCUGUCGAGCGGGCAUGUGUCGAGGUCGAUGGUGUCAUCCUCAACACCUUUUUGGAGCUAGAGCCGGAGACGGUCAUGAGCUGCAUGGAGGUCAGGAACGUCAACGUGUGGGCCGUCGGUCCGGUGUCGUUGUUCCACUAUCACCAGAACGCGGCGGCGCUGGCGGCAAGAGGGAACGCGCCCACCAUCGACGCCGACGAGUACCUCCGGUGGCUCGACGACAAGGAGUCGUCCUCCGUCAUCUACGUCAGCUUCGGGAGCAGCGCCGUGCACGCGGCUCCAAAGCAGGUCAUGGAGAUCGGCCUUGGCCUCGAGGCGUCAGAGCACCCGUUCAUCUGGGUGGUAUCAUCGGAGAAUGCCGGACAGGACCAGGAGAUCCGCAGGUUCCUUGAGGAACUGGAGGCCCGGGUCAGCGGUCGCGGCCUGCUGAUCAGGGGCUGGUCACCGCAGCAGCUGAUAUUGUCCCACGCGUCAGUGGGCGGCAUCGUGACGCACUGCGGGUGGAACUCGAUGAUGGAGGCGGUUGCGGCCGGGCUUCCAAUGGUGACAUGGCCGCACCUGGCGCUCCAGUUCGUGAACGAGGCCUUGGCCGUGCGCUCGAUGGAGACCGGCGUGAGCAUCGGGGUCGAGUGGUCGAAGGAGGAGGGGGUGGAGGUGGCGGUGGUGGAGCGAGGGGUGGUGGAGGAGGCGGUGAGGAGCAUCAUGGGCGGAGGAGACGAGGCGGCGGAGAGGCGGAGGAGGGCGACGGCGCUCGCGACGAAGGUGCGAGAGGUCAGCCAGGAGGGCGGAUCUUCUUUCAUAAACCUGCGUCGUUUGGUCAAGCGCUACCAAGCAGUGACGUCCCAUGAUGCAUGA